RNAcentral lists this long non-coding RNA (550 nucleotides) under Homo sapiens (human). RNAcentral's name for it is "HSALNT0373776". The record is from RNAcentral. Lineage: Eukaryota; Metazoa; Chordata; Mammalia; Primates; Hominidae.
AAGUGGAAUGCUAGUUAUCUCUUUUUUUCCUAGUAAAAAAUAAACCUUUGAUUUUUGAGCAUGAAUAAAACAGCUCUCUAGUAUUAAACUUGCAAAGGCUAAAAGCUGACUGCAAACGUUUACAUCACCUCCUAAAGGCACACGUUCCUACUUCGACUUCAGAUGUUGCCAAGGAGAAUAAAGCACAAAGGAGAAUUGUCUCUUGUCUGCAUAGCAGAACAAAGAAUAUCGAGCUUACAGUUUGCCUCCUUGAGAGAACCACAUCCAGAUCUUGUGGAGAUGACUCUUCAUGACCUGGACUUUAAAUUGGAUACAGUUAUUAGAGAAGAUUUGAGUUGUCAUCUUUGGGGAGAGGACACGAUGUUAUAUGAGAAGAAAAGUGAAAGAGGGUGUAAUUUUGCGUAGAAGCAGUUGUGAAGUCAGAAGUGACAUUUCCCCGUAGUCCUAAGUGGUGCUCUGAAACUUGUUCUCAUCGCUGGAUGUAAGAAAAAGUGAUUUUCCCUUUUCUACCCGAAGCAGCUAAGAGACUGCUGUGGUUUCUCAUGUUCUC